CUUUAGGAAUUUUGCCAGUGUCUUAAGAUUAACUUGUAGGUCCCUGUUAAGAAGACUCGAUUUGAAGGUUCAACCUGAGAGACAACAAGCUCAUCAUGGCACCGAGAACAAAAACUCUGAAACAACUGUAUAUGAGGAUGUGCUCAACCCGUCCUAGAUACCAACCAGAUUACUUUGAUGUGUUUCUUGCUUUGUUGUAUGCCCCUAGUUGUUUCUAGGAUAAAGAUUCAGAUUCGAGGAUGAAUCUUUCUAAAGAGGGGAGGAUGACGUGAUAUCGGAUAGCUAAAAUUCUCAAUCAAAAGAGAAGUCCCAAGAUAAGUGGGAAUCUUGGGGGAAAUAGCGGGUCACUUGGUCGCGAACCUGUAGACUUGCCUAUACGAGAACCUGGAAAA
Molecule: long non-coding RNA, 392 nt
Filed under: Carica papaya (papaya)
Lineage: Eukaryota; Viridiplantae; Streptophyta; Magnoliopsida; Brassicales; Caricaceae
Description: long non-coding RNA (CPAP_LNC009075)
Source: RNAcentral